AGGUUUAGAAAAGAAAUUAUCAAAUAAUAUUUCUAAUAAGAAAUGGAUAUUUUUCAAUUUUGCCUUAGCUUAAGGUUGCUCUAUGUCAUGGUUCAAAUUCAGUGUUCAAUAACUUAUUGCCUAAAUGUACAAUGAUCUAUCUGGUCCCCUCAAUGAGGCCAGAAGAAAAGAAUAAACUGGUAAAAAGGGGGCUAAGAUCCUCCAAGAACUGAGUUUGUGUUCCAGCUCUAUCACUUACUUUUGAUUAUCUGUGGGCAAUUUAUGUAAUGUAUUUUAAAUUAUGUUUUCCAUACCAGUAACAGGGACACAAUAAUUUACAUCCUGCAUAUCUUGAGACUAAAUGAGUCAGUAUGUAUAACAGAACUUUGUGGUGCUUUACAAAUUGUAAUAUUGAUGUGUUUUUGACUCAGCAGGCCCUGUUGACUGGAGGGUGGCCAUUUGAUAACACAGAUUCUUUCCUGAGGAGACUUUGGCUUCUGGUGACUUGGGUCCCGGGCAGGUUCCAGAACUUGCAUCUAACUCUCCCAUUGUGCAGACCUGAGUUGAUCUAUGUCACAACUGAAGCCCCAGGCCACCAGAAUUCACAGGUGAUUUCACAGCCUACAGUUCUCUGAACUGGUCCUUCCCAGAACCUUUGGCCUCUGAUAACUCCAAUGAUUUCCCUUACUCUUUCCAACAUAGGCAUGCAUUUACAUGUGUUUUUCAUUUUGUAUCUACUACUUUUAGGUGCUUUGUAGCAGGAUAGUUUUUCAGGAUAUUUACUCUGCCAAUGCUGAUGGAAAAGGAAGUCUCUGUCUACUCCUCACCUUCCUGUAACCCAGUUUUGCCCCUAGCAGUUUACAGAUUCUAUUCCUGCUAAGGUCACCAGUGACAUUGUAAUUCCUAAAUAAAUACUCAUCAGGCCUUUUCUCACUCUGUAGCUUUCGAAACCCUUGUCUACUCUUUCCAUGAAUCACCAUUCUCCCUUGUAUUAUCUCAUACUAUUACACAGACGUGCAUAACGCCCCCACCGCCACACACACACACACACACACACACACACACACACUACCUUGGCAUUUGCCAUUAUCAGCUGUUAGGAUGCUAUUUUCACACUUCCUUACUUCCUAAA
This 1111-nucleotide long non-coding RNA is filed under the name Callithrix jacchus (white-tufted-ear marmoset). RNAcentral's name for it is "lncRNA (ENSCJAG00000063700.2)". The record is from RNAcentral. Lineage: Eukaryota; Metazoa; Chordata; Mammalia; Primates; Cebidae.